AAACCCCACGACCUUUCAAUUUCGUCAUCUUCUUCGACGCUAAACAACUCCAUUCAAAACCCGAACUCUCACUUCCCACUCUGAAAAAUGAAUUUAACCUUUUAUCCUCCUCUUUUUAUACAAAUAACCCUGAAAACGACAAGCUCUUCUUUUUCACUAUCGAAUUUCAUGAAUCACAAACUUCGUUCGCUUUAUUUGGGGUUAUACAAAUAACCCUGAAAAUGACAAGCUCUUUUUUUUCACUAUCGAAUUUCAAGAAUCACAAACUUCGUUCGCUUUAUUUGGGGUUAAUUCAUUACCCCAUUUGCGUUUAAUUCCACCUUCAGCAAUUGAUCUUAAAAAAGAUUCGAUUCAAAUGGAUGGUUCUGAUUUAGCCAGGUUAGCUGAAUCAAUGGCUGAAUUUGUUGAAGCUAAGGCAAAAAUUAAUGUGGGUCCCAUUCAUAGACCACCGAUGAUUUCGAAGAAACAGAUGAUGGGUAUUGAAUCACAAACUUCGUUCGCUUUAUUUGGGGUUAAUUCAUUACCCCAUUUGCGUUUAAUCCCACCUUCAGCAAUUGAUCUUAAAAAAGAUUCGAUUCAAAUGGAUGGUUCUGAUUUAGCCAGGUUAGCUGAAUCAAUGGCUGAAUUUGUUGAAGCUAAGGCAAAGAUUAAUGUGGGUCCCAUUCAUAGACCACCUAUGAUUUCG
This 685-nucleotide long non-coding RNA is filed under the name Nicotiana benthamiana. RNAcentral's name for it is "long non-coding RNA (NBEN_LNC008414)". The record is from RNAcentral. Lineage: Eukaryota; Viridiplantae; Streptophyta; Magnoliopsida; Solanales; Solanaceae.